This 230-nucleotide non-coding RNA is filed under the name Photobacterium halotolerans. Lineage: Bacteria; Pseudomonadati; Pseudomonadota; Gammaproteobacteria; Vibrionales; Vibrionaceae. The record is from RNAcentral.
CUAGCAUUUUGUUGCGAUGGUUUGCCUGUAUAGCAGACAGGCGGGGAAUACGGUGAGAAUCCGUAACUGACGCGCAGCGGUGAGAGAGAACGAAGACACAAGGCUGAAAGCCAGACACUGUUUCCUCAAGUGUGCGCAAGGCAUGCUGAACGAAAUGGGAAGUCGUUGUCCUAGGCGGUUGUUCAACCGUGCUCUCAAGUCCGAAGACCGGUCAUCGUCGAAGGCAGUAC